RNAcentral lists this ribosomal RNA (966 nucleotides) under uncultured bacterium. Its description in RNAcentral is "bacterial SSU rRNA". It matches the Rfam family "Bacterial small subunit ribosomal RNA", at positions 536 to 1501 of the family's 1533-position model. The record is from RNAcentral.
AGGCCGAUUUCGGGAUUAUUGGGCGUAAGAGCUCGUAGGCGGUCUGUUGCGUCUGCUGUGAAAACCCGGGGCUUAACCCCUGGCUUGCAGUGGAUACGGACAGACUAGAGGUAGGUAGGGGAGAAUGGAAUUCCCGGUGUAGCGGUGAAAUGCGCAGAUAUCGGGAGGAACACCGGUGGCGAAGGCGGUUCUCUGGGCCUUACCUGACGCUGAGGAGCGAAAGCGUGGGGAGCGAACAGGAUUAGAUACCCUGGUAGUCCACGCUGUAAACGUUGGGCGCUAGGUGUGGGGUCCUUCCACGGAUUCCGUGCCGCAGCUAACGCAUUAAGCGCCCCGCCUGGGGAGUACGGCCGCAAGGCUAAAACUCAAAGGAAUUGACGGGGGCCCGCACAAGCGGCGGAGCAUGUGGAUUAAUUCGAUGCAACGCGAAGAACCUUACCAAGGUUUGACAUGCAGGGAGAAGCCGUAGAGAUACGGUGUCCGUAAGGGCCCUGCACAGGUGGUGCAUAGCUGUCGUCAGCUCGUGUCGUGAGAUGUUGGGUUAAGUCCCGCAACGAGCGCAACCCUCGUCCUAUGUUGCCAGCGGAUUAUGCCGGGGACUCAUAGGAGACUGCCGGGGUCAACUCGGAGGAAGGUGGGGAUGACGUCAAGUCAUCAUGCCCCUUAUGUCUUGGGCUGCAAACAUGCUACAAUGGCCGGUACAGAGGGCUGCGAGACCGCAAGGUGGAGCGAAUCUCAAAAAGCCGGUCUCAGUUCGGAUUGGGGUCUGCAACUCGACCCCAUGAAGUCGGAGUCGCUAGUAAUCGCAGAUCAGCAACGCUGCGGUGAAUACGUUCCCGGGCCUUGUACACACCGCCCGUCACACCACGAAAGCCUGUUGUACCCGAAGUAGGUGCGCUAACCCGCAAGGGAGGCAGCCUCCUAAGGUAUGGCCGGUAAUUGGGGUGAAGUCGUAACAAGGUAACC